UGAUGGUUAAGGAACCAAUGAGAUUUUCAGAGUGACGGUCACCUACCUUUUGUUUUUUGCUUGUAGUCGCACAAAUUUGUUCUUGCAGAGGAUUUUUAUUCUUCUUUUUAUUUCCUUGUUUUUUCUUUCCCUAAUUUUUUCCUGGAAUGAUUUUUCGAGUUUGCAGUCCACCAGGAUGCCCUAAUUUUUGCCUAAGUCACUCGUUUUCGAGUUUUCG
Molecule: long non-coding RNA, 217 nt
Filed under: Lathyrus oleraceus (garden pea)
Lineage: Eukaryota; Viridiplantae; Streptophyta; Magnoliopsida; Fabales; Fabaceae
Description: Pisum sativum (pea) long non-coding RNA (PSAT_LNC022954)
Source: RNAcentral